AGCUCCAAUAGCGUAUAUUAAAGUUGUUGCAGUUAAAAAGCUCGUAGUUGGAUUUGUGGCAGUCGCCAGCGUCUCGGCAUUCGUGCCGGUGAUUGCUAGCGGCGCCAUCCUUGGGUGGAAUCUGUGUGGCAUUAGGUUGUCGUGCAGGGGAUGCCCAUCGUUUACUGUGAAAAAAUUAGAGUGUUCAAAGCAGGCUUACGCCGUUGAAUAUGUUAGCAUGGAAUAAUAAGAUAGGACCUUGGUACUAUUUUGUUGGUUUGCGCACCAAGGUAAUGAUUAAUAGGGACAGUUGGGGGUAUUCGUAUUCCAUUGUCAGAGGUGAAAUUCUUGGAUUUUUGGAAGACGAACUACUGCGAAAGCAUUUACCAAGGAUGUUUUCA
This 380-nucleotide ribosomal RNA is filed under the name uncultured eukaryote. RNAcentral's name for it is "SSU rRNA". It matches the Rfam family "Eukaryotic small subunit ribosomal RNA", at positions 587 to 972 of the family's 1831-position model. The record is from RNAcentral.